AGCAGCCGCGGUAAUUCCAGCUCCAAUAGCGUAUAUUAAAGUUGUUGCAGUUAAAAAGCUCGUAGUUGAAUUUCGGGACCAAUAUGUCAGUCGUGCCUCGGUACGCACUGGCUUAUUGGUUUCUCCUUUCUGAAGAACCAUGAUGUCAUUCAUUUGGUGUCGUGGGGAAUCAGGACUGUUACUUUGAAAAAAUUAGAGUGUUUAAAGCAGGCUCACGCUUGAAUACAUUAGCAUGGAAUAAUGAAAUAGGACGUUUGAUUCUAUUUUGUUGGUUUCUAGGAUCGACGUAAUGAUUAAUAGGGAUAGUUGGGGGCAUUAGUAUUCAAUUGUCAGAGGUGAAAUUCUUGGAUUUAUUGAAGACUAACUACUGCGAAAGCAUUUGCCAAGGAUGUUUUCAUUAAUCAAGAACGAAAGUUAGGGGAUCGAAGACGAUCAGAUACCGUCGUAGUC
This 450-nucleotide ribosomal RNA is filed under the name uncultured Glomeromycotina. RNAcentral describes it as "SSU rRNA". It matches the Rfam family "Eukaryotic small subunit ribosomal RNA", at positions 569 to 1025 of the family's 1831-position model. The record is from RNAcentral. Lineage: Eukaryota; Fungi; Glomeromycota.